This 253-nucleotide ribosomal RNA is filed under the name uncultured bacterium. RNAcentral's name for it is "partial 16S ribosomal RNA". It matches the Rfam family "Bacterial small subunit ribosomal RNA", at positions 524 to 776 of the family's 1533-position model. The record is from RNAcentral.
UACGGGGGGUGCAAGCGUUAAUCGGAAUUACUGGGCGUAAAGGGUGAGUAGGUUGUUUACUAAGUUAUCUGUGAAAGACCAGGGCUCAACCCUGGGGUGUCAGAUAAGACUGGUAGACUUGAGUAUAGGAGAGGGUAGUGGAAUUUCCGGUGUAGCGGUGAAAUGCGUAGAGAUCGGAAGGAACACCAGUGGCGAAGGCGGCUAUCUGGCCUAAUACUGACACUGAGUCACGAAAGCGUGGGGAGCAAACAGG